ACUCAAAGGAAUUGACGGGGGCCCGCACAAGCGGCGGAGCAUGUGGAUUAAUUCGAUGCAACGCGAAGAACCUUACCUGGGCUUGACAUGCACCGGAUCGCCGUGGAGACACGGCUUCCCUUGUGGCUGGUGUACAGGUGGUGCAUGGCUGUCGUCAGCUCGUGUCGUGAGAUGUUGGGUUAAGUCCCGCAACGAGCGCAACCCUUGUCCUGCGUUGCCAGCAAUUCGGUUGGGGACUCGCAGGAGACUGCCGGGGUCAACUCGGAGGAAGGUGGGGAUGACGUCAAGUCAUCAUGCCCCUUAUGUCCAGGGCUUCACACAUGCUACAAUGGCCAGUACAGAGGGCUGCGAGACCGUGAGGUGGAGCGAAUCCCUUAAAGCUGGUCCCAGUUCGGAUCGGGGUCUGUAACUCGACCCCGUGAAGCCGGAGUCGCUAGUAAUCGCAGAUCAGCAACGCUGCGGUGAAUACGUUCCCGGGCCUUGUACACACCGCCCGU
This 497-nucleotide ribosomal RNA is filed under the name uncultured bacterium. Its description in RNAcentral is "bacterial SSU rRNA". It matches the Rfam family "Bacterial small subunit ribosomal RNA", at positions 899 to 1397 of the family's 1533-position model. The record is from RNAcentral.